Long non-coding RNA from Myzus persicae (green peach aphid), 126 nucleotides. RefSeq lists it as uncharacterized. The transcript is spliced from 3 exons. The record is from RefSeq and is a predicted model, not a curated record. Lineage: Eukaryota; Metazoa; Arthropoda; Insecta; Hemiptera; Aphididae.
CAAAAUGAUUUUUGUUGAGAAUAGUUUAAUGACGUUUACAAUUUUAAUUGUAGCAAUUUUUGUUAUGCCAGUUACUUCGAGUAUUAAAGAAGCAAGAAGUGCAUGUCUAAGCGAAAGUUUUGGUGA